RNAcentral lists this ribosomal RNA (854 nucleotides) under uncultured eukaryote. RNAcentral's name for it is "SSU rRNA". It matches the Rfam family "Eukaryotic small subunit ribosomal RNA", at positions 584 to 1457 of the family's 1831-position model. The record is from RNAcentral.
UCCGGCUCCAGUAGCGUAUAUUAAAGUUGUUGCAGUUAAAAAGCUCGUAGUUGGAUUUCUGGCUUGAGACGGCUGGCCCGCCUAGGUUUCUAGGUGAGUGCCGGUGUGUCUCUGCCAUCCUUCUGGAAAUCGAUCCUACUCUUCAGUGAGCCGGGAUCGCGAUCCAGAUCUUUUACUUUGAAGAAAUUAAAGUGUUCAAAGCAGGCUUGUGCCGUGAAUACAUUAGCAUGGAAUAAUAAUUUAGGACUUUGGUUCUAUUUUGUUGGUUUCUAGAACUGAAGUAAUGAUUGAUAGGGAUAGUUGGGGGUGCUAGUAUUCAGAGGCCAGAGGUGAAAUUCUUGGAUUCUCUGAAGACUAACUUAUGCGAAAGCAUUCACCAAGGAUGUCUUCUUUAAUCAAGAACGAAAGUUGGGGGAUCGAAGAGGAUCAGAUACCCUCGUAGUCUCAACCAUAAACUAUGCCAACUAGGGAUUGGUGAGCGUUGCUUUUUCGACCUCAUCAGCACCUUAUGAGAAAUCAAAGUUUUUGGGUUCCGGGGGGAGUAUGGUCGCAAGGCUGAAACUUAAAGGAAUUGACGGAAGGGCACCACCAGGAAUGGAGCCUGCGGCUUAAUUUGACUCAACACGGGAAAACUUACCAGGUCCAGACAUAAGUAGGAUUGACAGAUUGAAGAUCUUUCUUGAUUUUAUGGGUGGUGGUGCAUGGCCGUUCUUAGUUGGUGGUGUGAAUUGUCUGGUUAAUUCCGUUAACGAACGAGACCUCUACCUGCUAAAUAGUGUGGCGAAUCUUUGGAUUCGUACAAACUUCUUAGAGGGACUAUCGGUGUGUAGCCGGUGGAAGUUGGAGGCAAUAAC